GGAGGGAUGGCUCAAAGGUUAAGAGCACUCUCUGUUCCUUCAGAGGGCCUGGGUUCAAUUCCCAGCACCUACA
This 73-nucleotide transfer RNA is filed under the name Mesocricetus auratus (golden hamster). It matches the Rfam family "tRNA". From Rfam's summary of the family: Transfer RNA (tRNA) molecules are approximately 80 nucleotides in length. Their secondary structure includes four short double-helical elements and three loops (D, anti-codon, and T loops). Lineage: Eukaryota; Metazoa; Chordata; Mammalia; Rodentia; Cricetidae. The record is from Rfam by way of RNAcentral.